RNAcentral lists this transfer RNA (64 nucleotides) under Coleoptera sp. 13 KM-2017. RNAcentral's name for it is "tRNA-Asp". The record is from RNAcentral. Lineage: Eukaryota; Metazoa; Arthropoda; Insecta; Coleoptera.
AAAAAUUUAGUUAAUUAAUAACAUCAAUUUGUCAAGUUGAAGUAAACACUAGUGUUAAUUUUUG